UAAACAAUUUUUUUUUGUAAUUAGCUUUUCAGAGUAGUAUGCAUUUCGAAAAUAGCUAUAUGUGGAGUGUCCUGUGCUCGAAACCUGCCGGAUCAAAAUUAAAAUUGCAGUUGCUCUAGAUAGGUAGCCUGCCUCUGAUAUGAAUUAUAUAGCUCCAUAUAAAUACGGAAUGAUUUUUCAACCGAUAUGCAAAAGUUCCCGUGGCGGUUGGGUCUUUAUCCCAGAAGGAACCGGAUUUUUAAACGGCCAAAGACUGUCACUUGCAAAAUUCCCCAAAAACUACUUUUAAACCCGGUCGCUUUGAUUGUUCGUUAACAUCGCUGACUAAGAGAUGCUCGAUGUUUUGCCUGGACAUGUGAUGAUUCUACACAGCAUCAGUUUCAUAACUGAAUCUAUCAAUCACCACGUCUCGGUAUUCUGUGCCAACAAAUGUUUGCGAUGGGCAUAUAUGUUUAUACACACCCUUACAUGAAUGGAUCCAUAAGGGAUCUCGAUUUAGGUUUAGUUGAGGGCAACAGCAAAGCUACGAAGCUAACGAGAAUGGUUACUCUUAGAGUCGACUUUCCCGGCAAAAGCAUUACUCUAUCGUUUUUGGUAAGGACUGCGGUACUAAUAACUGACGUAUUUUGUGGUGGUGCUGUUUGAAAGACCUCAUGGUGAAAUUAUCUCGGCUACUCAUCCUUGACGGUACUGUUCCCCGAAACAAAGGGUUUCGCAUAUUGAAACCAACAUCUUAUAUAACCCAGGUGAGAGGGUAGCAUUUUGCGAAUUUGUGUUUUACGUUAAGACUUUGGUCGAGCUGUGCUCAGGAACUAGUAAACGUGGUAUCAAAAGAAAAUUUUAAAAAUGUCCAAAUGGGAUUUAGUACUUGGUCGGCCACCUAUAAUCCAACCUAACCAGCCCCUUUUCUGUAAAAUGCAAUUAGUCCAAGUGACUUUGCUUUACUUUUCAGUGUAAAAAAAUAUCCUAAGUCUCGUAAUGAGUCCUUAAAAAACGGAUAUUUUAAUCUAUAUUUUAAAGAUGUUUCAAAGAUUAUAAUUUUAUUUAUAAAAUAUAUAUGUAAAUAUGUAUAAUAUAAUUAAGUAUAUUUCAACUAAUACUUUUGUAUUAACUCGGACUCACAGUCUGUGAUUUUAGUAUACAUAAUCCGUAAGUGCAGAACACAAUUUCCAAAACUACACAACUUUCUUAUGUCUUUUGUUAUAUGUCAAUUAACGAAUAAAUAAAUGUGGAUACGUAUGUAUACAUAUUAUAUAACUAUUUACUAAAAUAUAAG
Ceratitis capitata (Mediterranean fruit fly) is the source of this 1276-nucleotide long non-coding RNA. RefSeq lists it as uncharacterized. The record is from RefSeq and is a predicted model, not a curated record. NCBI's taxonomy places the organism in Eukaryota, Metazoa, Arthropoda, Insecta, Diptera, Tephritidae. The transcript is spliced from 3 exons.